This 2879-nucleotide ribosomal RNA is filed under the name synthetic metagenome. RNAcentral describes it as "bacterial LSU rRNA". It matches the Rfam family "Bacterial large subunit ribosomal RNA". The record is from RNAcentral.
AGAAGCGCAUACGGUGGAUGCCUUGGCAGUCAGAGGCGAUGAAAGACGUGGUAGCCUGCGAUAAGCUUCGGGGAGUCGGCAAACAGACUUUGAUCCGGAGAUCUCUGAAUGGGGGAACCCACCUAGGAUAACCUAGGUAUCUUGUACUGAAUCCAUAGGUGCAAGAGGCGAACCAGGGGAACUGAAACAUCUAAGUACCCUGAGGAAAAGAAAUCAACCGAGAUUCCCUUAGUAGUGGCGAGCGAACGGGGAUUAGCCCUUAAGCUUCAUUGAUUUUAGCGGAACGCUCUGGAAAGUGCGGCCAUAGUGGGUGAUAGCCCUGUACGCGAAAGGAUCUUUGAAGUGAAAUCGAGUAGGACGGAGCACGAGAAACUUUGUCUGAACAUGGGGGGACCAUCCUCCAAGGCUAAAUACUACUGACUGACCGAUAGUGAACCAGUACCGUGAGGGAAAGGCGAAAAGAACCCCGGAGAGGGGAGUGAAAUAGAACCUGAAACCGUAUGCGUACAAGCAGUGGGAGCCUACUUGUUAGGUGACUGCGUACCUUUUGUAUAAUGGGUCAGCGACUUAUAUUCAGUGGCGAGCUUAACCGAAUAGGGUAGGCGUAGCGAAAGCGAGUCUUAAUAGGGCGUUUAGUCGCUGGGUAUAGACCCGAAACCGGGCGAUCUAUCCAUGAGCAGGUUGAAGGUUAGGUAACACUGACUGGAGGACCGAACCCACUCCCGUUGAAAAGGUAGGGGAUGACUUGUGGAUCGGAGUGAAAGGCUAAUCAAGCUCGGAGAUAGCUGGUUCUCCUCGAAAGCUAUUUAGGUAGCGCCUCAUGUAUCACUCUGGGGGGUAGAGCACUGUUUCGGCUAGGGGGUCAUCCCGACUUACCAAACCGAUGCAAACUCCGAAUACCCAGAAGUGCCGAGCAUGGGAGACACACGGCGGGUGCUAACGUCCGUCGUGAAAAGGGAAACAACCCAGACCGCCAGCUAAGGUCCCAAAGUUGUGGUUAAGUGGUAAACGAUGUGGGAAGGCUUAGACAGCUAGGAGGUUGGCUUAGAAGCAGCCAUCCUUUAAAGAAAGCGUAAUAGCUCACUAGUCGAGUCGGCCUGCGCGGAAGAUGUAACGGGGCUCAAACCACACACCGAAGCUGCGGGUGUCACGUAAGUGACGCGGUAGAGGAGCGUUCUGUAAGCCUGUGAAGGUGAGUUGAGAAGCUUGCUGGAGGUAUCAGAAGUGCGAAUGCUGACAUGAGUAACGACAAUGGGUGUGAAAAACACCCACGCCGAAAGACCAAGGGUUCCUGCGCAACGUUAAUCGACGCAGGGUUAGUCGGUUCCUAAGGCGAGGCUGAAAAGCGUAGUCGAUGGGAAACAGGUUAAUAUUCCUGUACUUCUGGUUACUGCGAUGGAGGGACGGAGAAGGCUAGGCCAGCUUGGCGUUGGUUGUCCAAGUUUAAGGUGGUAGGCUGAAAUCUUAGGUAAAUCCGGGGUUUCAAGGCCGAGAGCUGAUGACGAGUCGUCUUUUAGAUGACGAAGUGGUUGAUGCCAUGCUUCCAAGAAAAGCUUCUAAGCUUCAGGUAACCAGGAACCGUACCCCAAACCGACACAGGUGGUCGGGUAGAGAAUACCAAGGCGCUUGAGAGAACUCGGGUGAAGGAACUAGGCAAAAUGGCACCGUAACUUCGGGAGAAGGUGCGCCGGCUAGGGUGAAGGAUUUACUCCGUAAGCUCUGGCUGGUCGAAGAUACCAGGCCGCUGCGACUGUUUAUUAAAAACACAGCACUCUGCAAACACGAAAGUGGACGUAUAGGGUGUGACGCCUGCCCGGUGCCGGAAGGUUAAUUGAUGGGGUUAGCGCAAGCGAAGCUCUUGAUCGAAGCCCCGGUAAACGGCGGCCGUAACUAUAACGGUCCUAAGGUAGCGAAAUUCCUUGUCGGGUAAGUUCCGACCUGCACGAAUGGCGUAACGAUGGCGGCGCUGUCUCCACCCGAGACUCAGUGAAAUUGAAAUCGCUGUGAAGAUGCAGUGUAUCCGCGGCUAGACGGAAAGACCCCGUGAACCUUUACUGUAGCUUUGCACUGGACUUUGAGCCUGCUUGUGUAGGAUAGGUGGGAGGCUUUGAAGCGUGGACGCCAGUUCGCGUGGAGCCAUCCUUGAAAUACCACCCUGGCAUGCUUGAGGUUCUAACUCUGGUCCGUGAUCCGGAUCGAGGACAGUGUAUGGUGGGCAGUUUGACUGGGGCGGUCUCCUCCUAAAGAGUAACGGAGGAGUACGAAGGUGCGCUCAGACCGGUCGGAAAUCGGUCGCAGAGUAUAAAGGCAAAAGCGCGCUUGACUGCGAGACAGACACGUCGAGCAGGUACGAAAGUAGGUCUUAGUGAUCCGGUGGUUCUGUAUGGAAGGGCCAUCGCUCAACGGAUAAAAGGUACUCCGGGGAUAACAGGCUGAUACCGCCCAAGAGUUCAUAUCGACGGCGGUGUUUGGCACCUCGAUGUCGGCUCAUCACAUCCUGGGGCUGAAGCCGGUCCCAAGGGUAUGGCUGUUCGCCAUUUAAAGUGGUACGCGAGCUGGGUUUAGAACGUCGUGAGACAGUUCGGUCCCUAUCUGCCGUGGACGUUUGAGAUUUGAGAGGGGCUGCUCCUAGUACGAGAGGACCGGAGUGGACGAACCUCUGGUGUUCCGGUUGUCACGCCAGUGGCAUUGCCGGGUAGCUAUGUUCGGAAAAGAUAACCGCUGAAAGCAUCUAAGCGGGAAACUUGCCUCAAGAUGAGAUCUCACUGGGAACUUGAUUCCCCUGAAGGGCCGUCGAAGACUACGACGUUGAUAGGCUGGGUGUGUAAGCGUUGUGAGGCGUUGAGCUAACCAGUACUAAUUGCCCGUGAGGCUUGACC